Molecule: non-coding RNA, 106 nt
Organism: Caenorhabditis elegans
Lineage: Eukaryota; Metazoa; Nematoda; Chromadorea; Rhabditida; Rhabditidae
Source: Ensembl
CGAUUGAUUUGUAUGGAAAACGACAUUGAAAAGCACUGGAUUUGGUGAGAGAGGGAGAGGUGAAAGUCUUCUUCUAUUCUCUCAUUGCAAACUGGUUUCGCCCGCG